UAGGGAAUAUUGGGCAAUGGGUGCAAGCCUGACCCAGCCAUGCCGCGUGCCGGAAGACGGCCCUAUGGGUUGUAAACGGCUUUUAUACAGGAACAAAAACAGGGAUGCGUCCUUGACUGAGGGUACUGUAUGAAUCAGCACCGGCUAACUCCGUGCCAGCAGCCGCGGUAAUACGGAGGGUGCAAGCGUUGUUCGGAAUUACUGGGCGUAAAGCGCGCGUAGGCGGACUAUUAAGUCAGGGGUGAAAUCCCGGGGCUCAACCCCGGAACUGCCUUUGAUACUGGUAGUCUUGAGUUCGAGAGAGGUGAGUGGAAUUCCGAGUGUAGAGGUGAAAUUCGUAGAUAUUCGGAGGAACACCAGUGGCGAAGGCGGCUCACUGGCUCGAUACUGACGCUGAGGUGCGAAAGUGUGGGGAGCAAACAGGAUUAGAUACCCCCGUAGUCC
This 444-nucleotide ribosomal RNA is filed under the name uncultured prokaryote. RNAcentral describes it as "bacterial SSU rRNA". It matches the Rfam family "Bacterial small subunit ribosomal RNA", at positions 355 to 796 of the family's 1533-position model. The record is from RNAcentral.